Long non-coding RNA from Carcharodon carcharias (great white shark), 190 nucleotides. RefSeq lists it as uncharacterized. NCBI's taxonomy places the organism in Eukaryota, Metazoa, Chordata, Chondrichthyes, Lamniformes, Lamnidae. The transcript has 3 exons. The record is from RefSeq and is a predicted model, not a curated record.
CUGAAGAAACAGGGAAAUGAAGUCCACAAACAUUUCUGUAUGAUACAGUCAAGAACUCAGUGCUUUGCAACUUUGUCACAACAGCCGUCUACAGAUCUGCAGGGAUGGUGGUACACUGUCGAGGUCAAUCUUCUGCCCCUCAUUCUUGGCUCUGAUCGAAGGAACUAGGAUCGCAAGAUCAAUGCUGACA